RNAcentral lists this long non-coding RNA (376 nucleotides) under Homo sapiens (human). Its description in RNAcentral is "HSALNT0130215". Lineage: Eukaryota; Metazoa; Chordata; Mammalia; Primates; Hominidae. The record is from RNAcentral.
UUUUUGUAUUUUUAGUAGAGACGGGGUUUCACCACGUUGGCUAGGCUGGGCUAGAACUCCUGACUUCAAGUUAUCUGCCCGCCUGGGCUUCCCAAACUGCUGGAAUUACAGGCGUGAGCCACAGCGCUCGCCCCCCGUACUGAUUUGAGGGUCUCCAGAGCACAAAGGCUGCACCGGAUGAUGAAGAAGGAGCUGAAAGAGCCACAGACUCCGUAGAUCCGGUACAGUCCACACACAGGAAAUUCAGUUCUUAGGAUGAACACUUCACCAGAACAAGUACAGUGGUCCCCUCUUUUCCAUGGUUUUGAGCUCCAGGGUUUCAGUUACCCACAAUCAACAGCUGCCCAAAAACAGUAGAAAGACAUGUUGAGAUGGC